GCUUAACACAUGCAAGUCGAGCGGUAAGGCCCUUCGGGGUACACGAGCGGCGAACGGGUGAGUAACACGUGGGUGAUCUGCCUCGCACUUCGGGAUAAGCCUGGGAAACUGGGUCUAAUACCGGAUAUGACUUGCUGUCGCAUGGCGGUGGGUGGAAAGAUUUAUCGGUGCGAGAUGGGCCCGCGGCCUAUCAGCUUGUUGGUGGGGUAAUGGCCUACCAAGGCGACGACGGGUAGCCGACCUGAGAGGGUGACCGGCCACACUGGGACUGAGACACGGCCCAGACUCCUACGGGAGGCAGCAGUGGGGAAUAUUGCACAAUGGGCGAAAGCCUGAUGCAGCGACGCCGCGUGAGGGAUGACGGCCUUCGGGUUGUAAACCUCUUUCGACAGGGACGAAGCGUAAGUGACGGUACCUGUAGAAGAAGCACCGGCCAACUACGUGCCAGCAGCCGCGGUAAUACGUAGGGUGCGAGCGUUGUCCGGAAUUACUGGGCGUAAAGAGCUUGUAGGCGGUUUGUCGCGUCGUCUGUGAAAACUCACAGCUCAACUGUGAGCUUGCAGGCGAUACGGGCAGACUUGAGUACUUCAGGGGAGACUGGAAUUC
RNAcentral lists this ribosomal RNA (606 nucleotides) under Nocardia arthritidis. Its description in RNAcentral is "bacterial SSU rRNA". It matches the Rfam family "Bacterial small subunit ribosomal RNA", at positions 46 to 669 of the family's 1533-position model. Lineage: Bacteria; Bacillati; Actinomycetota; Actinomycetes; Mycobacteriales; Nocardiaceae. The record is from RNAcentral.